UAUACAGUGGGAAAACCAGCCUGGCAACAUAAGCUCACAAGCUAUCAGAAAGUUGUAUGGCAACCACCUCCGGCGCCAAAUAGAACUGGCAGACAUAGACAUUCAGUACAAGAAGAAAAAGAUAGAAAAUCUUGCACUGGAGUCCGAAAUAAAAAAGAGGACAAUUAGGAAACUGGACCUUGAAAUAAAAAAACUUUAGAGGGAGCUCCAAGAAGAUGACACGGCUCAAAAUAAAAAUUAGGUAUAUUCUCGUAAAGUCAAGUGAGCCAUGACAUAUGAGCUCUUAUUGUGAGCACACAGGACGGUGGCAUCUUUCUAAGGUAUUUUUUAUUUUCACAGCAAUCAGUACAACCAAGUCAUCGUUAUAAGGCACCGGCCUCUUUUGCCCAGCACCAGGUGUGGCCACUAGCCUAUAUGAAGGCCCAAAAUUGUGUGUUCCUUUCUGCUCUGACAAUGGCAUGCCCAUUCUUGCGAGAUGUGGUGGAUGAAGAAGCACUUGUGCUGAGGAGAGCCUUCAGGCGAGAAAGGGUCUUCAGGGACCGGUUGGACCCACUGGCCUUCCCUGAUGACCAUCUAUAUGAAAGAUACAGGUUUUCUGCAGAUGGCAUCAGGUAUCUAUGCAGACUACUGGAUCCCAGGAUUAA
Molecule: long non-coding RNA, 644 nt
Organism: Carassius auratus (goldfish)
Lineage: Eukaryota; Metazoa; Chordata; Actinopteri; Cypriniformes; Cyprinidae
Exons: 3
Source: RefSeq, a predicted model, not a curated record